RNAcentral lists this ribosomal RNA (253 nucleotides) under uncultured prokaryote. RNAcentral's name for it is "partial 16S ribosomal RNA". It matches the Rfam family "Bacterial small subunit ribosomal RNA", at positions 524 to 776 of the family's 1533-position model. The record is from RNAcentral.
UACGUAGGGUGCGAGCGUUAAUCGGAAUUACUGGGCGUAAAGAGUGCGUAGGCGGUGUGGCAAGUCGGGAGUGAAAUUUCUGGGCUUAACCCAGAGGCUGCUUCCGAAACUGCUGUGCUCGAGUGUGGGAGAGGCGCGUGGAAUUGCAGGUGUAGCGGUGAAAUGCGUAGAUAUCUGCAGGAACACCCGUGGCGAAAGCGGCGCGCUGGACCACUACUGACGCUGAGGAACGAAAGCUAGGGGAGCAAACAGG